RNAcentral lists this ribosomal RNA (1353 nucleotides) under uncultured archaeon. Its description in RNAcentral is "bacterial SSU rRNA". It matches the Rfam family "Archaeal small subunit ribosomal RNA". The record is from RNAcentral.
CUGGUUGAUCCUGCCGGAGGCUACUGCUAUUGGAGUCCGAUUAAGCCAUGCUAGUCUUCGAGGCUUUGCCUCGAGGCAAACAGCUGAGUAACACGUGGCCAACCUGCCCUACGGAGGAGGAUAACCUCGGGAAACUGAGGAUAAUACUCCAUAGGUCUGGAAUGCUGAAACGCGUCCAGAUUGAAAUGUAUUAUACGCCGUAGGAUGGGGCUGCGGCUGAUUAGGUUGUUGGUGAGGUAACGGCUCACCAAGCCGAUAAUCAGUAGCGGGCGUGAGAACGCGAGCCGCCAGACGGGUUCUGAGACAAGAACCCGGAUCCUACGGGAUGCAGCAGGCGCGAAACCUUCACAAUGCGCGAAAGCGUGAUGGGGGGACUCCAAGUGCUCGUUUCGAAAAAAGAAGCGAGCUUUUCCUGAGUGUAAGGAGCUCAAGAUAACAAGGGGUGGGCAAGACGGCUGCCAGCCGCCGCGGUAAUAGCCGCACCCCAAGUGGUAGCCAUGAUUAUUGGGCUUAAAGUGUUCGUAGCCGGCUUGAUCAGUCUUUUGUGAAAUCUGGCGGCUUAACCGUCAGGAGCGCAAGGGAUACUAUCAAGCUAGGGGCCGGACGGCGUCGAGGCUAUUCCCGGGGUAGGGGUGAAAUCCAAAAAUCCUGGGAAGAGCACCAAUGGCGAAAGCGCUCGGCGAGUACGGGCCCGACGGUGAGGGACGAAAGCCAGGGGAGCGAACGGGAUUAGAUACCCCAGUAGUCCUGGCCGUAAACGAUGCCCGCUUGAUGUCGGAAGUCCUUCGGGGACUUCCGGUGCCGAAGAGAAAUCGUUAAGCGGGCCGCCUGGGUAGUACGUCCGCAAGGAUGAAACUUAAAGGAAUUGACGGGGGAGCACCACAACCAGUGGAGGCUGCGGUUUAAUUAGAUCCAACGCAGGAAACCCUACCGGGGCCGACAGCACAAUGAGGGUCAGCCUGAAGGGCUUACCUGAGGAGCUGAGAGGUGUUGCAUGGCCGCCGUCAGCUCGUGCCGUGAGGUGUCCUCUUAAGUGAGGUAACGAGCGAGACCCGUGUCCUAUGUUGCUAUCCAUCUCUCCGGAGAUGGAGCACUCAUGGGAGACCGCUGGCGAUAAGCCAGGGGAAGGAACGGGCGACGGUAGGUCCGUAUGGCCCGAACGCCCCGGGAUACACGCGGCCUACAAUGGUCGGGACAAAGGGAUGCGACCCCGAAAGGGGAAGCUAAUCUCCGAAACCCGGCCUCAGUUCGGAUCGAGGGCUGUAACUCGCCCUCGUGAAGGCGAAAUUGGUAGUAGUCGCUGGUCAUUAUCUAGCGGCGAAUACGUCCCUGCUCCUUGUACACACCGCCCGU